Long non-coding RNA from Manis javanica (Malayan pangolin), 1075 nucleotides. RefSeq lists it as uncharacterized. NCBI's taxonomy places the organism in Eukaryota, Metazoa, Chordata, Mammalia, Pholidota, Manidae. The record is from RefSeq and is a predicted model, not a curated record.
CUUUCAGUCUCUACAUGCAUAAUCAUGAGAACCAGAGUUACUUCCCCAGUGGACUGACAUGUGCAUCCAGAGCUCAGGAAUGACAUCUCCCCAUUUUGGGGCAACCGAGUCAUACCUCCACCCUUCGUUUUCUCUCCUGUGCAGCGUCGGGGCCCAGAAAGGCACAGCGCUCUGGGGCCAGGCUCAGGACGGUUUGAUCAGAUGAACCCCACCACGGAGCAAACACUUCUGCUACAGGGGGCAGUGAUCUACUGCAAACGUUUUGCUGCUUUGCGGUGCUGGUGACCUCCUUGGCAGCGUGCACCCCCACCCUUCAGCCAUCGAGAUGGACACACGCGCAGAUGUGCAAAUCGCACCACCCCCAUGUGGGGCACGCUGGCCUCUGAAACAGUUUUGAGUCUUUAGUUUCUACCUCUGUGAGACCAAGCCUCCUGCUUUGGGUCAGACUUAGAAAUAAGCACUUGUGUAAGCAGAGACCUGGCAGUGGACAUUUUUCUUCCACGAAGGAUCCUGGCUUCAUCGCAAGCAGGGUUACUUGUCUUACACGGUCAAAAGCAAGUUGAUUUUACAAAGCUUUGUAUGCCUCCCAAUAGGUCACAGUACAAUUAAAUACAAUGACAAUAAAAAUAAAAAUUAAAUUAAAAUAACAGUAAAAAUAAAAGCACAAGACAAUUGUUCUCUACAUACACUGGGCCUAGGGUGUUUUCUCUUCACCACACCAUUUCUUCUUACUGGGCACCCAGGAAGACGACAUUCCUCAGCAUCGCCUGGCUUAGGGUGGGAUCAUGGGACCGAGUUCUUGCCAAUGGGGAUGCAAAUGGAAGGGACUGGUGGCUCUCAGGGCAAAGCGAUUAAGAACAGGUGUGAGGCACCCACGCUCUUGUUCCCUCCUUCAUGGCUGUUGGCAAAGAACUUGCAGAUGGCAGAGAGGCGAGGUGAGGGCAGUCAGAUUCCUUGAGUCACUGCUGAAGGAAAGCCACCUGAACUUCACUGGACUGUUUUCUCAUUGCUGUAUUUGACCCCUGAGAUGUGCGGGUUAGGUGUGACCUCAGCUUAGACUGUCCUAAUAUCAGAC